RNAcentral lists this ribosomal RNA (678 nucleotides) under Escherichia coli. Its description in RNAcentral is "bacterial SSU rRNA". It matches the Rfam family "Bacterial small subunit ribosomal RNA", at positions 30 to 697 of the family's 1533-position model. The record is from RNAcentral. Lineage: Bacteria; Pseudomonadati; Pseudomonadota; Gammaproteobacteria; Enterobacterales; Enterobacteriaceae.
UGAACGCUGGCGGCAGGCCUAACACAUGCAAGUCGAACGGUAACAGGAAUCAGCUUGCUGAUUUGCUGACGAGUGGCGGACGGGUGAGUAAUGUCUGGGAAACUGCCUGAUGGAGGGGGAUAACUACUGGAAACGGUAGCUAAUACCGCAUAACGUCGCAAGACCAAAGAGGGGGACCUUCGGGCCUCUUGCCAUCGGAUGUGCCCAGAUGGGAUUAGCUAGUAGGUGGGGUAACGGCUCACCUAGGCGACGAUCCCUAGCUGGUCUGAGAGGAUGACCAGCCACACUGGAACUGAGACACGGUCCAGACUCCUACGGGAGGCAGCAGUGGGGAAUAUUGCACAAUGGGCGCAAGCCUGAUGCAGCCAUGCCGCGUGUAUGAAGAAGGCCUUCGGGUUGUAAAGUACUUUCAGCGGGGAGGAAGGGAGUAAAGUUAAUACCUUUGCUCAUUGACGUUACCCGCAGAAGAAGCACCGGCUAACUCCGUGCCAGCAGCCGCGGUAAUACGGAGGGUGCAAGCGUUAAUCGGAAUUACUGGGCGUAAAGCGCACGCAGGCGGUUUGUUAAGUCAGAUGUGAAAUCCCCGGGCUCAACCUGGGAACUGCAUCUGAUACUGGCAAGCUUGAGUCUCGUAGAGGGGGGUAGAAUUCCAGGUGUAGCGGUGAAAUGCGUAGAGAU